AAUAGAUACCCAGGUAGUCCACGCCCUAAACGAUGCUCACUAGGUGUUGGGGAAGCGAUUCCUUGGUACCGUAGCUAACGCGUGAAGUGAGCCGCCUGGGGAGUACGGCCGCAAGGUUAAAACUCAAAGGAAUUGACGGGGACCCGCACAAGCGGUGGAUGAUGUGGAUUAAUUCGAUGCAACGCGAACAACCUUAUUUACCCUUGACAUGUCCGGAAGCCUGCUGAAAGGCGGGGUGCUCGAAAGAGAACCGGAACACAGGUGCUGCAUGGCUGUCGUCAGCUCGUGUCGUGAGAUGUUGGGUUAAGUCCCGCAACGAGCGCAACCCUUGUCCCUAGUUGCUACGCAAGGGCACUCUAGGGAGACUGCCGGUGACAAACCGGAGGAAGGUGGGGAUGACGUCAAGUCCUCAUGGCCCCUAUGGGUAGGGCUUCACACGCCAUACAAUGGACGGUACAGAGGGUUGCCAACCCGCGAGGGGAGCCAAUCCCAGAAAGCCGUUCGUAGUCCGGAUCGCAGUCUGCAACUCGACUGCGUGAAGUCGG
Molecule: ribosomal RNA, 545 nt
Filed under: uncultured bacterium
Lineage: Bacteria
Description: bacterial SSU rRNA
Rfam family: Bacterial small subunit ribosomal RNA
Source: RNAcentral